UUAAUUGUGAUUUAACUAAUUAAACUAUAAUUAAUAGUAAUGAAGGGGGUACAACAAGCAUAAAGGGUCUGUUUGAGCAAUUGGGUCGUAGGCCCUAUUGCAAGGCCCAAAGCUCAUCAUGCCAGACGGGGGUGUGAGCUUGAUGAUGAGGUGAAAUAGAAAAGAGCCUGGAAAGUCGUUUGGGCCUUAGGCCUAAUCUUGGUCUAAGGCCUAACAAAACAAGCAACAAAGCUGAAAGAAGACCGAAGAACGCUUGGGAGAAGCUUCAACGUCAGCAACACGUUUCUUCGAAAAAUGGCAUCUCGUUUCAACAGAACGUCGCGUCUUCAACACCAUUCAUGGUGGUAAUAAACAUGCUGAAUUGGUUUCUCUGUUUGAUUUUUGACUGUAGGUCAUGAAGCUAGGGAUUCAUGCCUGGCACAUAUACAUUAUUGUUUACCAUUAAUAGCUAAUCCUUGGCAUAGUAAUGAUCCACCCGAAAUCGAAUUAAUAAGGUGCACCACUUCACAAGGAUGCACACUUCUGAAGCUGCCCCGCUAGCAGACCCGAAUUUUCACUAAAUGAUGAAGUUCAAGGAUGUACAUCAGGUGGAAAGAUGCAGCAAUAGAAGGCAAGGACAACAAGCUUGAUUCAACAAGGUGAAAGUGAAGUCUCAAAAGGUGCAUUUGAGUUGAGUAGGAGUGGUUACAAGCUCAAGACAACAAGAAUAAUCUCUUUUCAAUCUUAAAGCAAUGUUAAUGUAUCAUGUAGUGAUGUAGGAUUUUUGUAUGGACUUUGUAGGAAUGUUCAAAUGUAAUGAAAACUUUGUACCCAUCCUAAUCAAAUUUGGUUUUUCUUUUCAUUUCAAAUCUUGUAUGCAAAUGUUAUGAAUGCAAGUUAUAUAAAAUGCA
This is a long non-coding RNA of Lathyrus oleraceus (garden pea), 890 nucleotides long. RefSeq lists it as uncharacterized. NCBI's taxonomy places the organism in Eukaryota, Viridiplantae, Streptophyta, Magnoliopsida, Fabales, Fabaceae. The transcript is spliced from 2 exons. The record is from RefSeq and is a predicted model, not a curated record.